GCCAUAUAGCACUGAAGCACCAGUUCCCAUAUAUUCACCAAAGUUAAGCAACAUCAAGCCUGGUAAGUAGCUAGAUGGGUGACCACUUGGGAAUACCACAUGCUGUAAU
Acanthosepion pharaonis is the source of this 109-nucleotide non-coding RNA. The record is from the annotation of a GenBank genome assembly. Lineage: Eukaryota; Metazoa; Mollusca; Cephalopoda; Sepiida; Sepiidae.